This 951-nucleotide long non-coding RNA is filed under the name Phascolarctos cinereus (koala). Its description in RNAcentral is "lncRNA (ENSPCIG00000025101.2)". Lineage: Eukaryota; Metazoa; Chordata; Mammalia; Diprotodontia; Phascolarctidae. The record is from RNAcentral.
UAACUCCAAUGCCACCUCCUCCAUGAAGUCUUCCCUAAUUGCCGGUACAUCUGGCUCCCAGCCAGGAGUAACCUCUUUCUGUCUCUGAAAUUUGUAACACUUUUUAUACAGAUCAAUGCCAUCCUGCUUUGUAUUGUAGUUAUGACUGUGCAUGUCUAUUCUUCCCAGCUAGGUUGUACAUCCCCUUGAGAGCAGGGAUCAUGUCUUAUUCAUCUUCAGUGGGUGGUACCCCCCUCCCAAGCCUUGCACACAGUAGGUACUCAGUAAAUAAUUCUUUCUCCACUCUCCCCUUAAUGUAGCCUAAGAUCAAAUUAGGCUUUUUGUUUCCCAUUGUUGAUGCACACUGUGGGUCCCCCUGCCCCUCUCCCCAAGCCCAGGGCUCCUAAUCAUUGUUAUGGCAGAUAGGCAAGACCUUGCAAGGAGAUAUUUCAUAAUACCACCACAAGAGCCCUGGGUUUGAAUCCUGGCUCUGCUCCCCACUACCUAGGUGACCUUGGGCAAGUAAUUCCUUGUCUCUGGGCUUAGUUUUCUUUGCCUGCUAAAUGAGGAGAUUGGCCGACAUCCUCCCCGAGGCUCCUUCCAGCUCGAACAUUCUGUGAUCCUAGGAGGGCCCGGUUAUAAAUGAGCCAAGAACAAGGCUCUUGCCCGGAAUGUCCUAGAGGCAAAACCGCAAAGGUUGACAAAUAGAAGGAGUGGAGAUUCCUUGGCCUUUGGGUCCCCUGAGCCGGCGUACUCUAGAAACAACCCUCCCCAGACGGGGGUCCCCACUUCCAGUGACCAGGUAGGCAGGGUCAUUAUCUCAGGUAAGAGUUUUGCUUGUGUUCCUCCAUUAGAAUGUGAGUUCCUCAAAGGCAAGGGUCAUGUUUUUGCCUUUUUUUUUAUGUCCAGGUGCUUAGUUCCUCAGACAAGGUAAAUAAGUGCUUAAUAAAUGUUUACUGAAUAAGGAGCCCA